UUGAACGCUGGCGGCAGGCUUAACACAUGCAAGUCGAGCGGGGGAAGGUAGCUUGCUACUGGACCUAGCGGCGGACGGGUGAGUAAUGCUUAGGAAUCUGCCUAUUAGUGGGGGACAACAUCUCGAAAGGGAUGCUAAUACCGCAUACGUCCUACGGGAGAAAGCAGGGGAUCUUCGGACCUUGCGCUAAUAGAUGAGCCUAAGUCGGAUUAGCUAGUUGGUGGGGUAAAGGCCUACCAAGGCGACGAUCUGUAGCGGGUCUGAGAGGAU
Molecule: ribosomal RNA, 270 nt
Filed under: Acinetobacter baumannii OIFC032
Lineage: Bacteria; Pseudomonadati; Pseudomonadota; Gammaproteobacteria; Moraxellales; Moraxellaceae
Description: partial 16S ribosomal RNA
Rfam family: Bacterial small subunit ribosomal RNA
Source: RNAcentral